This 600-nucleotide ribosomal RNA is filed under the name uncultured archaeon. RNAcentral describes it as "bacterial SSU rRNA". It matches the Rfam family "Bacterial small subunit ribosomal RNA", at positions 392 to 988 of the family's 1533-position model. The record is from RNAcentral.
CAAUGCCGCGUGAGUGAAGAAGGCCUUCGGGUUGUAAAGCUCUUUUGUCAGGGAAGAAACAGCAGCUCUAACACAGUCUGCGAAUGACGGUACCUGAAGAAUAAGCACCGGCUAACUACGUGCCAGCAGCCGCGGUAAUACGUAGGGUGCAAGCGUUAAUCGGAAUUACUGGGCGUAAAGCGUGCGCAGGCGGUUAUACAAGACAGGCGUGAAAUCCCCGGGCUUAACCUGGGAAUGGCGUCUGUGACUGUAUAGCUAGAGUGUGUCAGAGGGGGGUGGAAUUCCACGUGUAGCAGUGAAAUGCGUAGAUAUGUGGAGGAACACCAAUGGCGAAGGCAGCCCCCUGGGAUAACACUGACGCUCAUGCACGAAAGCGUGGGGAGCAAACAGGAUUAGAUACCCUGGUAGUCCACGCCCUAAACGAUGCUGACUAGUUGUUGGGAAUCUACAUUCUCAGUAACGUAGCUAACGCGUGAAGUCAGCCGCCUGGGGAGUACGGUCGCAAGAUUAAAACUCAAAGGAAUUGACGGGGACCCGCACAAGCGGUGGAUGAUGUGGAUUAAUUCGAUGCAACGCGAAAAACUUUACUACCUUGACAUG